RNAcentral lists this long non-coding RNA (11641 nucleotides) under Citrus sinensis (sweet orange). RNAcentral's name for it is "long non-coding RNA (CSIN_LNC000545)". Lineage: Eukaryota; Viridiplantae; Streptophyta; Magnoliopsida; Sapindales; Rutaceae. The record is from RNAcentral.
GGAAAGUUAAAUUGAAAGAGUUCGAAACUGACCGAGAACAGCGGUAGCUCCUAGGAGGGUAUCAGCUCCGGCGUACUUGCAAGACUUGCAAUAAACGACGCCUUGAACUUCAACAAGGCUCCUAGGGAAACGAUGGGUGGGUGUGGGUGGGUGAGCAGGAGCAACGUGCGGUGGAGGUGGGUGAGCAGGAGCAACGUGUGGUGGAGGUGGGUGAGCAGGAGCAACGUGUGGUGGAGGUGGGUGGGCAGGAGCAACGUGUGAAGGUGGGUGAGCAGGUGCAUGAGCGGGAGUGUGAGCCGGUGCAUGAGCCGGCGGGUGGGGGUGGUGGUGAUGAUGGUGGUGGCUUGGGGCGUGAGCCGGUGGGGCAGUAGGAGGGUGGCUGUGGUGGUGGUGGUGGUGGUGAUGGUGGGGGCUUGGUGCCGUUGCCGGGGUUACCGAGUGGUAGUGUGAUGGUGGCAUAGCCAUGGAACUCUCAGUGUAAACCUGUUCACCAUACACAGUGAAGCUGCAGCCGGCUAAGACCAAACAAACAUGAACAACAAUCAGUAAAGCUUUACCCAUUUUGUUUUGUUUUUUUUUUUCAGUCUUCUUUUAUCUCUAGUAAAGAAGAUGGCCAGCCAACUAGGGGGAGGGUGAGAGAGUGAGAGAGAUCGAGAGAGGUGGUGAAAACGAUCUCCGAUUGGGGGAAUUUAUAGGGGUUUUAACCCGUGAUUCUCUGCGGUUUUUUGUGAUAAAAUUUUUAUUUUAUAAUAUGGUGGUGGGGCUAUUAUUAUGCAUUAUGCUGUGAGGUGGACACAAACAUAAUGCAAAAGAAGAGAGAUAAUGAGAUAAUGCAAGAUUGAUUCGUUAAUUUGUUUUAGCGUUUGGUUGAGGCCCAAAUAAAAUUUGUUGAAUUUUUUUUUUAAUUUUAAAUCUAAUAUUAAAGUCUAAUGAUAUUCAUAAUACUGAUAUUCAAUGUCAAAUGUGUAGACAACUUCUAACAUCUCAAAUUGACUCCCAUAAUGUGUGUGUAUAUUAUUCAAGGAGACUUAAAAGGUCAUUCCACAUGUGUUGUGUGUAGAAAAAGAGUGACUAAUGAGUAGGGAUGGUAAAUUAAUCCGGACCAGGAUUGGACCCGGAUAAUCCGGUCCGGGUUUAACCCGUACCGGAAGGUAAUACAAUGCGGAUCCGAAAAGGAUAUUUUGAACCCGGAUAUAUUCCGGUCCGGAUCCGGUUUAUCUUAACCCGGAUGUCCGAAACCCGGACCCGAAUAAUUUAAUUAUAAAAGAAAAAAAAAAACCUAAUGCCUUAAGUCUUAACCUACUGCAGCCGCUUCUUUCUUCUCCAAUUUCUCUUUCUUUCUCCUCCAUCUUCUCUUUUCAUUAAAACAAACCCACUGCAGCUGCUUUCUUUCUUCUCCAAUUUCUCUUUCAUUCACUCAAAUGACUUGGAAAAAUCUUUGUAUUGAAAGGAAGACAAAGAGGAAUGCACCCAUUAAGGCUUAUACUCAUUUUUUGUCACUCUUGCUGGUUUUUGACAGCUACUUUCCGCCACUCUUGCUGAUUUUUUGUCACCAGAAAUUGCCGAAUCUCCACAGCAACUUUUUGACGAUGCUCUCCUCGACGCCGACGACAACACCAAUGCCACCAAAAAUCUGAAAACUCAGCAAUCCUCCCUCAACAUUCAUUUAGCUAUGGUUUCAGGAUUUUGGUGAUUUGAGAUUUGGAGAUUUGAGGAAGUAACAUCAAGAGAAAAAAAAAAAUUGUAAUAGAUAUGCGGGUUUAGAACCUGCAAUCCAAAAAUUUGACUUUUUCUGGGUUCAAUCCGAUUCGGACCUACAAUAAAAAUAUCCAGAUUAUAUCCAGAUCCGGUAUAACAAAAUUAUCAUUCGGAUUCAGAAUCGAAAAGACUGGACUCGAACCCGGAUCCAGAUUUUGCCAUCCCUAAUAAUGAGUGGGUUCCAUACGUUAUUUUACUUACUAGGGAAAAAUUAUACCGGUGGAGGAUUUUAAAAGGAUAAUUAGGAAUACAAGGUGAUUAAAUCCCAAGAGAUCGUUGUAAACAAGUGGCUCAGAGAUUCACAUGCAGAGGUGAGACCGUGCGAGUGGGCUCCGGAAUUUUGGCACAUGUAGCGAGGCAAUGUAGAAGUUUCCGAUGUUUCUUUGGUUACUGAACCUCUCGUCUUUAUUUUUUUAAAAUUAAAUUAAAUAGUACGUUGAUUCUUUGGUUUGGGAAAUUAAUGAUAUUUACUAAAACUCUUGGUAAAUGGUAAAUAAGAUGAAUGAUUGGUAUGGGCCCAACCAAAAAGUAAUGGCAAGUGAUAAAAUUUCGAGCUCUUUGUGGAUAAAGAAAGAAUAUUGUACGUUACAAUAAUUUUUGACGUUGAAGUUCCUGUGUUUCACAAGAAAAGUGAAAAUAAAAUAAAGCAACCUUAAUUUCCUCCGUUAUUAAAAAUAUUAUAAUAUUUUAAAAAUAUAUUAAUUAUUUAUUUUAAAUUAAUAAAAUAUAUUUAUUAUCUAUUAAAUUAUUAAUUAACGUUGAAAGAUAAUGACAUUAGAAGGGUAAUUUAAUAUUUUCACACGAUAUAAAAAAUAAUAAAAGAAUUUAAGAAUAUAAAAAUGAUAAUUUAAAAGUACGUAAGUGAUAAUAAGAUAAUUUAAGAGUAUAUAAAUAAUAAUUUUUUUAUUUUAAUUUAAAUUUCAAAAAUAAAAUAUCAAUUCGCUGUAUUAACUUUCAGAUGGUAACUAAUGAUUUAGUUAUUAGUAUAUAUAUUUUGUCAACUUAAAAUGAACGAUUAAUAUUAUUUUUUACAACAAAACAAAUAUAAGGUAUAAAAUGAUAAUUUCCCUAACAUAAAUAAAGAAAUGAAACACUAUUUUCGCUUUUGCCACUUUCGUUUUCGGUUUCGAAUUAUCGUCGGAGUCUAGAAACUAGGUUGUGUAUUUAUUAUAUGUGCUCUGUUUUUAUUUGUUUAUCUUUUCUCUGUUCUGACACCUUAGAAAACUUAAUCAGAAAACGACAUGGCAAGGAGAAAAGAAAAUAUUAUACUAGGGUUAUUGAUAUUAAAUCAGAGCUAGAAUUAGCCUUAGGGUUCCUUCUUUUAAACCCUAAAAAUUGAAAACUCAAGUUUAUUAUUUAUCGUAAUAUAAUUAAAUUCCGACAAAGUUAAAUAAUGGGUUCAUUUGAUGGGUAAGUCGUGUAAAAUUUAUCAAUCGUUUUUCGCGUAAAAUUAAUAGUAGAAAUUUCCAAAUCUAAGCGAAUGUCAAAUUUGGUCCAACGCAUGAAAUAAAUUAAAACUCUGGAGAUGAUAACUUUCUAGAUAAUGUAAUUGAGCUUUUUAUAUAUGGAACUGCAAAUGUAAUUCCUCUGUCCCGCAUUUCGGUCCUUUUAUAGAAGGUUAGAUAUUAUAUUUUGAUGAACUAUUAUUUGAACUAAUUAAAUAAUGAUCGCUCCUUGCACAUAUCCACUGGGAUGCGUUUCAAGAGACAGAAUGAUAUCUGCUGUACCGUACAUCCGCCUUGGCCGUACAGCAGAUUAAUAAAAUAUAUUUAUUAUCUAUUAAAUUAUUAAUUAACGUUGAAAGAUAAUGACAUUAGAAGGGUAAUUUAAUAUUUUCACACGAUAUAAAAAAUAAUAAAAGAAUUUAAGAAUAUAAAAAUGAUAAUUUAAAAGUACGUAAGUGAUAAUAAGAUAAUUUAAGAGUAUAUAAAUAAUAAUUUUUUUAUUUUAAUUUAAAUUUCAAAAAUAAAAUAUCAAUUCGCUGUAUUAACUUUCAGAUGGUAACUAAUGAUUUAGUUAUUAGUAUAUAUAUUUUGUCAACUUAAAAUGAACGAUUAAUAUUAUUUUUUACAACAAAACAAAUAUAAGGUAUAAAAUGAUAAUUUCCCUAACAUAAAUAAAGAAAUGAAACACUAUUUUCGCUUUUGCCACUUUCGUUUUCGGUUUCGAAUUAUCGUCGGAGUCUAGAAACUAGGUUGUGUAUUUAUUAUAUGUGCUCUGUUUUUAUUUGUUUAUCUUUUCUCUGUUCUGACACCUUAGAAAACUUAAUCAGAAAACGACAUGGCAAGGAGAAAAGAAAAUAUUAUACUAGGGUUAUUGAUAUUAAAUCAGAGCUAGAAUUAGCCUUAGGGUUCCUUCUUUUAAACCCUAAAAAUUGAAAACUCAAGUUUAUUAUUUAUCGUAAUAUAAUUAAAUUCCGACAAAGUUAAAUAAUGGGUUCAUUUGAUGGGUAAGUCGUGUAAAAUUUAUCAAUCAUUUUUCGCGUAAAAUUAAUAGUAGAAAUUUCCAAAUCUAAGCGAAUGUCAAAUUUGGUCCAACGCAUGAAAUAAAUUAAAACUCUGGAGAUGAUAACUUUCUAGAUAAUGUAAUUGAUUGUCCAAGUGAUUGAGCUUUUUAUAUAUGGAACUGCAAAUGUAAUUCCUCUGUCCCGCAUUUCGGUCCUUUUAUAGAAGGUUAGAUAUUAUAUUUUGAUGAACUAUUAUUUGAACUAAUUAAAUAAUGAUAUAAUUUUUAUUAUUUUAAUCGAGAUAUAAAUUAAAUAUUCUAAUUAAGCAAAUAUAGUAUUAUUUUUAUGUUUUCAUUGGCUUGAUUCUUGACCAAAUCAUCUUUCAGUACGCAUCCCUCAGUUGAUUACUGACAUGGCAUUAACCCUUCCCUGGUUGAGACGCAAGUAACAGGUACCUACUGGCGAUCGAGGUCGGUUGAAUUAUUUGAUGCAGUACAUCAUAAAAUUUUUUUACUAAAUUUGGUAUAGAUUAUAUCACAUUAACAUAAUUUUUUUAAUAAAAAUUUACUAAUGGUAUAUAAUUAAUAAUUCUUAAUUGACAUUUCUCUCUCCUACUUGUUUGCUUAUCCUUCCACCAUUUUUAUUUUAUUUUUUUCAUUUAUCUCUUACUUUGUGUUUUGUUUCAGCUUCUCAUAAACUCUUUCACUCCCAAUCUAUAAACAAAUAUUUUCAUGCAUUUGUCAUAGAAUUCCAGUUAAAUCAUAUAUUUUUGGUCCAACAGUACUUAUCGGAAAAAAAAUUAUUUCAACAAAAAAUCAUUGAUUUUUAUUUAAGCCCACAUUAAUUGAUCCACAUUUCCACACACAAGUAAAAUUAUACAACCUCGCAUACAAAAUGCAGCUUUUAAAGUUCAGAAGUUUCACUAUGCUCUGAUUUUACAAUCAUAAAGAUUGCAAAUAAUAUUUUUUUUUUAAUCAAAAAGGCAUAAAUGACAAAGCUUUUAUUAUAAUGAUCGGCCGAUGAAUCGCAUGUGCCAGAAGAGCCGAAGACAAACCCAGUAAAGCAGAAAAAACAAAAAAGUAUUAACUCAUAGGACAAGUUUAAUUAAUAAAAAUUAAUUAUAUUGAGUAAGAAAUAAGGAUCACUUAAAUUUUAUUUCUUCUUGUGUUUGGGGUAAAAGGAUUAUAUAUAGCUUUACUGAUGUAAUCAUCAUCAGGUAUGUGUAAUUUAUGAAGCUGCGUCCAUAACCGGAUCCACCAAGAAGUCACAUUUAAAUCGAACAGCUGUUUUUGUAUUCAAUCGAGAGAUUAUACAUUAGGCUUAGGGUUGCAGCACCUCAAUGGCGAGCUGAAAAUAAUAAAUUGUUGUUGACUUAGAAAUAUAAAAUGAAUUAGAAUGAUCGAGAUAAUCGGAUAUAACAGAUCAUAUUAUAAUAAAUACGAUCUGAUCCGAUGUAAUGGAGUUCGAUAAUAUCAAUACCGAUUGUGCGUAUAAGCCAAUAGCAGUUCUUGAUUUCUUGUAUUGUAUGAUUGUGUUGUAUCCAUUCGAUUCAAGCAUAAAAUAUAAAAAAUGAGACGGGUAUGAGUUGAGCAGUGCUGCAAAAGAAAAGAUGAUCGCCCACUCAGCCGCUUGGCAGUUUGCAUGCAGUCCAUGAGCAGCCAUUUUUCAUUCAGCUGCUCACCGUCCUUGGUCCUUAUUCCUAAUAUUUAUUACCCUAUCAACUAACUCUCUUGUAAUUUUUUUUUUUUUUUACAACAUCAAUGAUAUAAGUAACAUGUACUGUUGAAUCUAAUCAGCUGUACAAAUUAUUUCUAUUAAUAAUUUUUUUAAAAUAAUAGAACUAGUUAACAAUCGGUUCAAAAUGUGAUUUGAAAUUUAAAAAAAAAAGUAAAAAGAGAUAUGAUAAAAAUAAUAAUAUCUCGGGUUCUUUUAUUUAAAAUUAAACAAGUAUUACUUAUUUUAUAGCAUUUUGAUGUCGAAACAUAUGAACCGCUUUGAUUAUUUUAAUUGAUUUGAUAGUUAAUCCUUGUGACUUUGAGUCCUAUUAUCAAAUUGGGUUACUUUAAAAAAAAAAUGAAAGAGAAAGUGGUUGUGCAAGGGUUUAUCAAUGAUUAUUUUUUAGGUACUUAAACUUAUAUCUAAGGCUGAACCUUAUCUAAACUACUUGCUUUUGGUCGCCCGAGCACAGCCUGCCAACAAUUAUGGCGGUUGAAUUUGAAUGGAAGACUAGUAUUCUUUCCAAGCAGUGGACCUAAGAAAGGGCGAAGCAAGUGACUUUUACAAUUACUUUGCUUCUUCUGUUCAUUAAAAUACACUUUGCAUUUGACGUGUGGUUAUUUCAAGAUGAUUUGGUACCAAAACUUAUUUUUAAGUUAUGCCAAUUAAAUUCAAAAUAGCAAUAUUUAAUUGUUUUCAUUAUACCCCGGAAAUUCUUCUUUUGUUAAAUUAAAAUUAUGCAUAAUUUGAUUCUAUAAGAAUGUAGCCCGUAUAAUGGUCGACUUUUACCUAUCUAAUUCUUUGAAAUAUUUUAUAUUUGUAUGAAUAAUAUGAUCUUCCAGGGACUUUUAGUCGCUCAUGUGCUUUAUUUUGUUAUCCCUCGUAUAUUCUUUGGUUUCAUGAUUGUUGAUUUCAUGUAGAAGAUUUAUUUAUAUUUGUACAGGAAAGAUAGUUUUACUUUUCAAAUUAUCACAGGAGACUCUCUGCUUGUUAUUGACUUAUUAUUUCAUCAAUUGUGCUAGAUGAAGGAAAUGGAGUUCAAGAAGUUGUUCGAUACACAAAAUAUUGCUGCCUUGCUGCCUUUCGUAUUAAGAGGAAUCCGAUUCAGUGUGUUCUCCUUCCUCACUGCUCGUUGCCAGCUCUUGAAGUGCACCCAACAUUUACCGUACGAAAAGCGGUCUGCUGUACCGUACAUCCGCCUUGGCCGUACAGCAGAAUAAAAAUGAAAAUGAAAAUGGUGUUUUGCAAUUGCUGUAUUUCGAAUUUCAAUAUGUGUCUAGUAUCAUUUUCUGUAUCCUGUAUUUUAAAACUAAAAACUAAAAACAGUAAUAUGCGUUUGGUAGACACAGUUGAAAAUUAGGGGUGGGCAAUAGUCGGUUCGGCCGAGCCGAGCCGAACCGAACCAAAACCAAUCGGUUCUUUAGAAGAUGAACCGAAUAGGGACCGAAUUUAGGAACCGAACCGAACCGAACCGAAAUAUUUCGGUUCGGUUCGGUUCGGUUCCUAAAUUCGGUCCCUAUUCGGUUCAUCUUCUAAAGAACCGAUUGGUUUUGGUUCGGUUCGGCUCGGCUCGGCCGAACCGACUAUUGCCCACCCCUAAUUUUCAACUGUGUCUACCAAACGCAACUACGCACAGGAUCCUUCAACAACGUUCUUCCAAAGAUUGGUGUAGGUAACAAGUUCUGUGCUGCCACCCAACUUCGAAAAACUUCCCACACACACAUUCCCCCACACACACCCACACCCACACCUAGUAGCCCUGCUGUACGGCCAAGGCGGAUGUACGGUACAGCAGAUGACACACACACACACACACACAUAUAUAUAAAUCGGUCUCAAGUUAGUCUUGACUGUAAAAUCCAUUUUGUGGCGAAGUGCAAAGUAUGACAAGAGAUGACAAGGCAAAAGCAGCCAGCCAAUAUAACAAGAUAAUAAAUAAUAGUAUCACCACCAAUCUAGCGAGUUCACUUCGUUUAUCCUUAAUGAAGUCAAGCAUGACAAUGCCAAAAGAUAGUCAAUCAUAAUUAAAAUUCAAAACAAGUGAAAAAAAAUCAUCAUAAAACCUUGAAAAUCAUUGUAGACAAGGUUCCAUUAUCCAUAGCAACAAAAGUCAUGGCAACUAAUUAUAACCACUGAUCUCCAAAGGGCACCAUACACUAUCAUAAUUGAAGUAUUCUGCUGCUUGACUUACAACAUCAAGAACAUCAGGUCAAAAAGGGCCAGAAUCCUUUCAGCUUGUUAGUCUGCUACUGUCAUGAUGCAAACCACUCACUGGCAGGCAUCUGUUUUUAGAAAAAAAAAGACUUCGACCUGUAAUCAUCAAAUCGUAAUUUAGCAAUCAGCAAUUCAAAUCCGCUACAGGGUUGAGCAACCUUUUGCAAAUCAAAAAGUUUGCACUAAUUCACAUAAUACAACUAAUACUAAAAUGAAUCUAAAACUCAGAUCAGGAAGUGGUCAAAGCCAUUAAAGGAAUGGUCAGAGUGUAACAAGCUACCAGGUGUUAACAAUGGAGGGAAGUGGUACAGUGUGCUUGAAUAUGCAAAAACAAUCAGAGUCUACCAACUGCAAUGAACUGGAUGCAGUAGGAAAUGCAUUAGUUGCCACCGUUAAGAAGAUAACCGUUGCCCACAGACAACAACAGUGUUGGAUACAUCCUAAGAAGAAACAGGGUACCUUCACUUUAUCUCUUUUAAGAAGAUUAAACAGUUCAAUAUGGAGGUAUAACAGAAACAGUGGACUACACUGAAGAAGAUAUUCGAUUGAAAAUUAAGGAGUUGAUUAAAUCUUUAAGAUACUGAGACAGCAUAGUUUUUUAUGAAUGGAAACAAAAUAGUAGCCAUGUUGCAAGUUACAAAUUCAGCCUGGAAGCAGAAUUUUUUUUUGCGACAAGGAUGGCAUGAAGAUGACCGGCGUCGCACGAGCUUUCAAUCGGUACCAACCUUGGUCGGAGGAGUGGCCGGAAACGGAGACAAAAUCCGAGUUGGGUUCGUGGGUAUUGUGAUAAAGAGAGGGGUAUUGUGAUGUAUGUGCAAUAUAGAAUAAAAAUGUGUAAAUAGUAAAUAGUUUAAGGUGCUAAGUAAAAUGUUCAUAUGGAUGCAGUAGAAAUUAACUUAAUAUUUAUAAAGUAAAGAUUAAAUAAAAUUGAGUAAAAUGGGUUCUAUAAAAAUUUACAAUUGUGCUGACAAAAAGACAAAAAUAGUGGUACGGUACCACUGUGGUACCGUAGCUUGAUCCUCCUUAAAGUUUGAAUUAAUGAUAGAAUUACACAAAUAUUUUACUUUAGUGGGCUUAUUGAUGACAUGCGUAUCAUUUUUGUCAAUUUAUAGUUGUAAAUUUAUAUUUUUAAAAUGUAUUUUAAUCAUCAUUCCUACUUACCUCACAAAGUUGCUUUGUUUUCCCAAAAAAAGAAAAAGAAAAAAACCGUUUGAAAUAUUUUUUACGUGAUGCAUAAUUAUUGUGAGAAAAUAUAUACGAUGUUUGGGUGUUGUUUUACCAAUUUUCUAUCUAAAUAUGCAUAUGAAUAAACAUGUGAUUGACUUGUAAAAAUAAUGUGGUACUUUAAAUGUACAAAAUCGAUUAUGGAAUGCAAUUUAAUAUGCUCUAUAUUACUUUGAAGUUGGACACCGCGGUUAACUAACUACAAUAUGCACUAAAAAGGUGCUAUUGAAAUGAAUAUGUGAUUUUAAUCAUUUUAAAAUCUGAAAUUUGUGAUCUAAAACAUUUCGGGCAGAUGUUUAAUCGCAGCAGUUAUCUUUCACAAAUUAAAAAUUUUUACAUCAAAUUUUUUAGAGUAAUGAUACAGCCACAAACUCUUGUACAAACUUAUUUUGUACAAACUGACGUGGCAUGAUAAGAUUGGUUGAAUGAAAAUAUAAAUUAAUAAAAACAAAUCAUGUGGGCCAAGUGAUAUUUAAUUCAACCAAUCUUAUCAUGCCACAUCAGUUUGUACAAAAUAAAUUUGUACAAGAGUUUGUGGCUGUAUCAUUACUCAAUUUUUUAUUUUAUUUUAAGUGGUCGUCAAUUUAUCUUCCAUUCCUAGUUUUUUUUUUAAAUACCGAUAAUACACCAGAUUAUUGAAUUACAUUAGAUAUUUACAAUUGUUAUUACAAUAGAUAAUUAUAUUGAUAUUUAUAAUCAGACAUAUAAUUGGAGGUAUUAAAGUACCUUGUCCAGAUAAAUAACCCUCACAAACGAAGAAUAUUUCUACUCCAUUCUUAUUUCAUAAGGAAAAGAACUUACAAAUAAAUCUACACAAUUAUACAUAAUUCUUAAUUCUCAUUACCCUCAUUAUCUGUGAGGGUAAUGAGGGUAAAAGUUCACCGGUCCAGUGCUAUGCUAGUUAAGUGAUUGUGAUCUAACCAUUCGGGAAAUCUCAAUAGACCUUGUAUUUCGGUCGUUUUACAUUUUCCAUGACCAAUGGGCCAGCGCCACAAAAUAAAUUAAGAUUUAAAAUAACUAACAUAAAUGAUUAUUUAAUUUAAUAAUACUAGGGGAAAAAAAAGAGAGUAAACAAAUUCCAAGGACUUGACUUUUCUUUUUGAACAGUAUGCCAGGAAAAAAGUAACAAUUGCUAUGUCUCUCAUGUUUGCCACAAGGCAGACCACUCAAUUAGUUUCAUUACUUCCCUUUUUCUUGGUUUUGAUUAAAUAUAUAUAUAAUUACCAUUUAAUUUUAGAUCCGCCGUAAAAUUUUAUAACAUGGGUACAUUUAUGAUGACAAAAACAUUAAAAAAGAGGAAAAAAAACAUGAUCCAUAGCAUAUGCAUUUAUAAAUAUAAUUCAUAUUCAAACAAUGAGCCUCAUAAUUUAUUUGUUGCUAAUUAAACUAGCGGGAUACUAUAAUUUAUUAAUGCCAACGAAGCGACACAGUACAAAUAGACUUGCACUUGUGAGCUCCGUAGCUGAUGAUUGUCUUGGGUGCUUUGAUCCUGAAGUAGCCGUUCUUGUCCGUUUUGCCAACCACAUUGAGUGGAUACUUGGUGUUGUUGCACUGCAAUUUCAGAGUCGCCCCUGCAAUUGAACCCAUGGACAAUAUUAAAAGAAUAAAAAAAAAUUUAAAUACUAGGGACUUCAAAAAGAGAGCUUGAAAAAGGAAAAAGUAGCUAGCUAUGCUGCCAUAACCAUGCCUCCUACUGAAUGUGACAUAAACCUAGAACAAAGAGAAAGAAAGAGAUCAAGAGCACCUCUCUCUCUCUCCAUUCAAAAUCUGGAAAUGUAUACAUCACGCAUCCAUGAAAACAAAUGCACAUUCGCAUCCAUACGUAUGUUAUGUAUGCAUGAUAUCUAACUAAACAUACAUGUGAAAUUAAUUGAAGUAAUAAUGAUAGAAAAAAAUCAAGUAUGUAAGAGUUUGGAGCAGGGAAAAUUAAGUUGAAAGAUUUCGAAACUGACCUAGAACAGCGGUAGCUCCUAGGAGGGUAUCAGCUCCUGCGUACUUGCAAGACUUGCAAUAAACGACGCCUUGAACUUCAACAAGGCUCCUAGGGAAACGAUGGGUGGGUGUGGGUGGGUGAGCAGGAGCAACGUGUGGUGGAGGUGGGUGAGCAGGAGCAACGUGCGGUGGAGGUGGGUGAGCAGGAGCAACGUGUGAAGGUGGGUGAGCAGGUGCAUGAGCGGGAGUGUGAGCCGGUGCAUGAGCCGGCGGGUGGGGGUGGUGGUGAUGAUGGUGGUGGCUUGGGGCGUGAGCCGGUGGGGCAGUAGGAGGGUGGCUGUGGUGGUGGUG